Molecule: RNA transcript, 3686 nt
Organism: Haemorhous mexicanus (house finch)
Lineage: Eukaryota; Metazoa; Chordata; Aves; Passeriformes; Fringillidae
Gene: BRD8
Gene name: bromodomain containing 8
Exons: 23
Source: RefSeq, a predicted model, not a curated record
CCUCCCGGCGGGCUUUGCGCGCGGUGCCGCCCCUGCCGCCCUUAGGGCCGGGCGGGGAAGAUGGCGGCGGGGCCGGGAAAGCACAAGCUGCUGAGCGCCGGCCCUACCGAGCCCUGGUCCAUCCGCGAGAAGCUCUGCCUGGCCUCCUCCGUCAUGCGCAGCGGCGACCAGAACUGGGUCUCAGUCAGCAGAGCCAUCAAACCUUUUGCAGAGCCAGGACGCCCACCUGACUGGUUUUCCCAAAAGCACUGUGCAUCUCAGUACUCAGAGCUCUUGGAGACCACAGAGACCCCAAAAAGGAAACGUGGUGAGAAGGGGGAAGUUGUGGAGACAGUGGAAGAUGUUAUCGUGCGGAAACUGACUGCAGAGAGGGUUGAGGAGUUGAAGAAAAUUAUUAAAGAAACACAGGAAAAGUACAGGCAGCUCAAGAAGGAUGCAGAGCUGAUCCAGGCCGGACACAUGGAUAACAGACUGGAGGAGCUGUGCAAUGAGAUUAUGAUAAAGAAAAAAAUGGAAGAGGAGGAGGCAGAAGUAAAGAGGAAGGCUACAGAUGCUGCUUAUCAAGCUCGCCAGGCCAUUAAGAACCCACCUCGAAGGCUCACGGGGGUGAUGGUUCGUUCUCCUGCAGGCUCCACCUCCCCGGGCGGGGAUUAUUCCCUCGGAGAUCUGUCCCAGCCCGCUGGGGAUGAGGCCAGUCCCGGGGUCACGCCAGGGACAUUGCCCAGCACCCCAGUUGCCUCCUUCAUUGGAAUCCCUGACACCCCUCCAGGCUCUGCUCCCCUGGAUGCCCCCAUGACCCCAGUCACUGAUGAUUCACCCCAGAAAAAGAUGCUAGGACAAAAAGCAACUCCGCCUCCUUCCCCUCUGCUCUCAGAGCUGCUGAAGAAGGGCAGUCUCCUGCCCACAAGCCCCAGGCUGGUUGGUGAAAAUGAAAUGGCAGUGGCUUCUGGUCACAUGAACAGCUCUGGAGUGCUGCUGGAGGUAGGAAGUGUCCUUCCAGUGCUGCACAGUGGGGAAAUGCAGUCAGCACCUGGUGCUGUCCCUGCAUCUCCAGCUGCUUCAGGUGCUCCUACGCUUUCCCGGCUUUUAGAAGCUGGUCCUGCACAGUUCACCUCACCUCUUGCUUCCUUCUCCGCUGUUGCCAGCGAGCCUCCAGCUAAGCUCCUGCCACCCCCAGUAGAGCCUGUGUCCCAGGCCACUAUUGUCAUGAUGCCCACGCUGUCAGCACCAGCCGUUGUGCCACCAGCUGCAGCUGCAGAAAGCGUAGCCACAGUGAGCCAGCCAGAAGCCUGUGUUUCCAUGGAGGCAGUGUCUGAUUCCCAUACUGUGACAGUGUCCAUGGACAGCAGUGAAAUAUCAAUGAUCAUUGAUUCCAUCAAGAAAGAGUGCCUGGGUUCUGGGGCUGGCAGCACUGCAGGAUCUUCCAAAGAUCAUUGCAUGGAUGGGAAGGAAGAUCUGGAUUUGGCUGAAAAAAUGGAUAUUGCAGUGUCCUAUACGGGGGAAGAGCUGGACUUUGAUACGGUUGGAAAUAUUAUAGCCAUCAUUGAGGACAAGGUAGACGACCACCCUGAAGUCCUGGAUGCAGCAGUUGUUGAAGCUGCUCUGUCUUCUUUCUGUGAAGAUACUGAUGACCCUCAGACCCUUCCUGGCCCAUGGGAGCAUUCAAUUCGUCAGGAGCAUGACAAACAGGCCCAGAUGCCACAAGUGUCUGUGACUGUGAAGCAGGAGAGACUGGAGUGUGAGGAGCCAGAGGCAAAGGGAAUUCGAGAUCUAAUGGGCAUCAGUGAGCUGGGGUCAGAAAUAAAGACUGAACUUGCAGAGCAGGACCAGAGUCAGCUGGGCCCUGAAGAAACCAUACCAGCAACUGCCAGAGUGACAGAAACUCCAGAGCUUAGAAACCAAGAGAUAGAAGAAGAUCAAAGAGCAGCUAUAACAACAGGAGAGACUUCUGAAAUCAAAAUAGAGUCAUCCCAGGGAGAAGAUGCAGUGCUCAAUCCAGUGAAGACAGAGACCCCACCUGAUGAUGAUUCAUCCCCUCCACAAGUCCCAAAUGUGAGUGAAGACUCCUCACAGGCUGAUGUUCAGCACAAAUUUGAGCUGUCAGAAUCAAUGAAGGAGGAGGCCCAAGCCCUGUUUAGGAGUCAGAUAAAGGAUGGGCAGGGUGAGGAGGAUGAUGAGGACGGUGCCAGUGAGGCUGCCAGUUUGGAGGAGCCCAAAGAAGAAGACCAGGGUGAGGGGUAUCUCUCAGAGAUGGAUAACGAGCCCCCCGUGAGCGAGAGCGACGACGGCUUCAGCGUCCACAACGCGCCCUUGCAGUCGCACGCGCUCGCCGACUCCAUCCCCAGCAGCCCGGCCUCCUCGCAGUUCUCAGUGUGCAGUGAGGACCAGGAAGCAAUACAGGCUCAGAAGAUCUGGAAGAAAGCCAUCAUGCUGGUUUGGAGAGCAGCAGCUAAUCACAGGUAUGCCAAUGUCUUCUUACAGCCUGUAACUGAUGACAUAGCACCAGGCUAUCACAGCAUUGUGCAGAGGCCAAUGGAUUUAUCUACCAUCAAAAAGAACAUUGAGAACGGGCUGAUCCGAACCACGGCCGAGUUCCAGCGGGAUAUUAUGCUGAUGUUUCAGAAUGCAGUGAUGUACAACAGCUCUGACCAUGAUGUGUACCACAUGGCUGUGGAGAUGCAGAGAGAUGUUCUGGAGCAGAUCCAGCAAUUUCUGGCCACACAACUGAUGAUGCAAACAUCAGAGUCAGGGAUCAGUGCAAAGAGCCUGCGGGGGCGAGACUCCACUCGCAAGCAGGAUGCUUCAGAGAAGGACAGUGUCCCAAUGGGCUCUCCUGCCUUCCUUCUCUCUCUCUUUCUGCCCCUUCCACACGUCCGAGGCAGUACAAAAGGUCUUGGGAGAGUGAGGAGUCAGCCGUGUGUCCUUUUUCUGUUCCUGGUUCAGAAAGCAAAAAAGACUCUGCAGAAAUAUCUUGCUCUGUGCCCGUGGUGAUCUGGAAGUGUUUGGAAAAAUAUUCCCUCUGGGAAACCCCAAGUGUCUGAGUUACUGUGAGGAGAGAGAGGAGGAAGAUGGAGAGCUGUCCUUAUCUCUCACAUGUAUCUAAAGACAGAGGAGUACUCCAGGAGAGGCAGCAGAUCAGCCAGAGAGAGGAUCAGAGGAAGCUCUCAGCUCACCUUCUGCUCGUGGAAAGGAGCUGUGUGGAGGAACUAGGGAGCUAGUGCCAGGGUCACUCAGCUGGAGGAGCACUUCCCAUAGGGAUCAGCAGCUGAUAAGGACGGAGGCACCAGAGGGCGGCGCUGCGCCAUCGAGGCAGACAUGAAGAUGAAGAAAUGAUGCUGCAGACACAAAAUCCCAGCAGAAUUCCAGGCAUCCGGAGCUGGAGUGUGAGCAGGCAGCUCUUAACAGCUGUUGGAGGAAGAAAAAAGCUGCAGGUCCAUUUCUGGGACCUGGUUCACCACCUUCGCUUGCCCUUCUGGAAAGCAGUGUCUUGUCAGAAUGUGUAACCCAAAGAAACUUCCCUAGAGGGGAAGACCAGCCCCCCUGCCUGUUUUAGGGCAGUUGUCUUGGGCUUCAUCAGUGUUCUGGUGUUAGCUAGCAGCUGGUGGCUCGUACGUACUGUAAUGUGAAGUGUACAGAUUUUUACUAGUGAUGUGUAAAUGUGAUGUAUAUUAAAAUCUGGGAACAAA